GUACUCGCUUCAACAGCACAUAUACUAAAAUUGGAACAAUACAGAAAAGAUUAGCAUGGCCCCUGCACAAGGAUAACACGCAAAUUCAUGAAGCCUUCCAUAUUAAA
Molecule: small nuclear RNA, 107 nt
Organism: Pteropus vampyrus (large flying fox)
Lineage: Eukaryota; Metazoa; Chordata; Mammalia; Chiroptera; Pteropodidae
Source: Ensembl